AUGUAACGUCUACAAUGCCGCCUGAAGGAUUUGUUGCGAUUGAUCACGUAACUUCGAAUGGCAUAGCAUCGUAGAGAGCCAUGAGCGAAUGCAAAAACGACGCAACCUAGACUCGACUUUGACCAAUGGCGUAGUGUCUCAGUAGCAAUCUUUGUUGGUGAUGAUGGAUCCGGAAAGAAGAAACGUUAUGAAAUGGAUUGGUUUGAACGGCCCCUUCACAAUGCUGUGCGCUCAACAAGGUGGCCUUCUUGCCUACUGAACGCUUGUAAAGUACCAUGUACCGGACGAUGACGAGAACGCAUGCCAAAGAAACAAUCAAAGGCUGACUGCUGCUGCAAGAACACCUCUGUUAUAUUUGAGAACAGUCCCUUUGCUAACCCUAAACCCUGAGGAUGUUUUCAUUAGUCAAGAACUAAAGUUAGGGGAUUGAAGACGAUCAGAUACCGUCGUAGUCUUAACCAUAAACUAUGCCGACUAGGGAUCGGGCGAUGUUCUUUUUUUGACUCGCUCGGCACCUUACGAGAAAUCAAAGUUUUUGGGUUCCGGGGAAAGUAUGGUCGCAAGGCUGACACUUAAAGAAAUUGAGGGAAGGGCACCACCAGGAGUGGAGCCUGCGGCUUAAUUUGACUCAACACGGGGAAACUAACCAGGUCCAGACAAAGUAAGGAUUGACAGAUUGAUAGCUCUUUCUUGAUUCUUUGGGUGGUGGUGCAUGGCCGGUCUCAGUUGGUGGAGUGAUUUGUCUGCUUAAUUGCGAUAACGAACGAGAUCUUAACCUGCUAAAUAGCCCAACUAGCUUUUGCUGCUCGCUGGCUUCUUAGAGGGACUAUUGGCAUAAAGCCAAUGGAAAUUUGAGGCAAUAACAGGUCUGUGAUGCCCUUAGAUGUCCUGGGCCGCACGCGCGCUACACUGACGGAGCCAGCGAGUUCAUUCCUUGGCCGGAAGGCCUGGGUAAUCUUGUGAAACUCCGUGGUGAUGGGGUUAGAGCAUUGCAAUUAUUGCUCUUCAACGAGGAAUUCCUAGUAAGCGCAAGUCAUCAGCUUGCGUUGAUUUACGUUCCUGCCCUUUGUACACCGCCCGUCGCUACUACCGAUUGAAUGGCUUAGUGAGACCUCCGGAUUGACGUUGAGCUGCUGGCAACGGCGGCCCUUUGUCGAGGAGUUGAUCAAACUUGGUCAUUGUAGGAAGUAAAAGUCGUAACAAGGUUUCCGUAGGUGAACCUGCGGAAAG
RNAcentral lists this ribosomal RNA (1230 nucleotides) under Protomyces macrosporus. Its description in RNAcentral is "SSU rRNA". It matches the Rfam family "Eukaryotic small subunit ribosomal RNA", at positions 665 to 1824 of the family's 1831-position model. Lineage: Eukaryota; Fungi; Ascomycota; Taphrinomycetes; Taphrinales; Protomycetaceae. The record is from RNAcentral.